UUUAUUGGAGAGUUUGAUCCUGGCUCAGGACGAACGCUGGCGGCGUGCCUAAUACAUGCAAGUCGAGCGAAUCUGAGGGAGCUUGCUCCCGAAGAUUAGCGGCGGACGGGUGAGUAACACGUGGGUAACCUGCCUGUAAGAUUGGGAUAACUCCGGGAAACCGGAGCUAAUACCGGAUAAUAUUUCGAACCGCAUGGUUCGAAGUUGAAAGGUGGCUUUUGCUACCACUUACAGAUGGACCCGCGGCGCAUUAGCUAGUUGGUGAGGUAACGGCUCACCAAGGCGACGAUGCGUAGCCGACCUGAGAGGGUGAUCGGCCACACUGGGACUGAGACACGGCCCAGACUCCUACGGGAGGCAGCAGUAGGGAAUCUUCCGCAAUGGACGAAAGUCUGACGGAGCAACGCCGCGUGAGCGAAGAAGGCCUUCGGGUCGUAAAGCUCUGUUGUUAGGGAAGAACAAGU
RNAcentral lists this ribosomal RNA (464 nucleotides) under Bacillus sp. SA1-12. RNAcentral's name for it is "bacterial SSU rRNA". It matches the Rfam family "Bacterial small subunit ribosomal RNA", at positions 1 to 454 of the family's 1533-position model. The record is from RNAcentral. Lineage: Bacteria; Bacillati; Bacillota; Bacilli; Caryophanales; Bacillaceae.